RNA transcript from Tupaia belangeri chinensis (Chinese tree shrew), 1904 nucleotides. It is a transcript of the gene named chromosome unknown C3orf52 homolog, with no coding region annotated. The transcript is spliced from 7 exons. Lineage: Eukaryota; Metazoa; Chordata; Mammalia; Scandentia; Tupaiidae. The record is from RefSeq and is a predicted model, not a curated record.
GGGUGGGGUAGGCCGCAGGAGGCAAGCCUGGACUCUGCACCCACAGGUGUGUCUGGCCUGAGUCCCGGCCCAGGCCCUCGGCCCUCUUCCGCCGGCCCAUGGAAGGGGCCCCGCUGGCAUCGCCUGGAGAAGAACUAGAGCUCUCGCCGCUGCAGGGGCCGCCGGACGAGCAGGUGCCUCUCAAUGGGGCGGUGCAGGUCAUCACGUCUUCUGCCGAGGAGCCCGUCUCCGCCCAGGCUAACAAGGAAGGCCCCUGGAGUGCCUGUAAUAAGAAUCUGUUUGGAAAGUGUAAGCUGUGGAUGGUCAUCACCUCCAUUUUCCUAGGUCUCAUUCUAGUGAUCGUCAUAAGCUUAAGUCUCAUUGGAGUAACUUAUAUUGAUGAAGAUGAAAAUGAAAUACUUGAAUUAUCGUCCAAUAAAACAUUCUUGGUCAUGUUGAAGAUUCCAGAGGAGUGUGUUACUGAAGAGGGCUUACUUCAUCUGCUCACUAAAAGGCUCACGGAUGUGUACAGUGCCUCGCCGUCUCUGAGUCGCUAUUUUACUGCUGUGGAAGUAGUGGACUUCAGUGGUGAAAAUGCCACCGUCACCUACUACCUGCAAUUUGGGAUUCCUUCAGGAGACGACAACUUUCUGAAGUACAUGAUGAGUGAGGAACUGGUGCUGAGCAUUCUGCUGCAGGAUUUCCAUGAUCAGCAUGUCCCUGGUUGUGAGCGUCUGGGGCUCGAUCCAGAAGCCCUUACCAUAUGACAGUGUGACUGGAAAAAAAAAUUCAUGGAAAAAAUAAGUAAACUCUCAAGAUGAAGAUUGCUCAAAGUUUCCUUGUUGCAGUUCACCCACGGCCUAAGCCCUGUACCCUACUGCAAAACGUCAUUACAACCUUCAUGAAACACCGUGGUUUCACAAGAGAAGUAAAUAUCGAAGAAUUCAACAUAAAAAGGACAGCGAUGUUGUUGAAAGACUAUCUCAAUACAAAGGAUCUAUUCCUUUUUUUGGUUGAAGGCCACUGAGUUCCUCAAGAAAUUCAGUUGGAAUGAAGCAGUGAAGGUCAGUUUGCCUUUGACAGCAGUGGUCCACUGAGUUUUGGAGAUAGAGUUUAUUCUGUUUUGUAGAAAAGAUCUGUGGCUUAGCAUGGAAGUAUCUAGCCAUGACCAAAGGAGUGGAGACUGCACUUUCUCGCCUGAUUCUGCACAGGGGUGAAGUCUGACUGCACAUCCUGCGAAACAGCUCUGGAGCUCUGCCCCAGCUGGGUCCUGUCUUGAAAAAGAUGGGAAACCAGAUGGGGCUUGGGUGAUGUGGUGGACGGUGGACCCCACAGUGUGAGGUCACUUCUUUUUUCUUUCUUUCUUUCUUUCCUUUUUAUCCCCCUAAUUGUCAGGGAAGUGUGUACUCACCAGAGACAGAAAGAGAGAAGAAGACAUGUAUACACAUGUAUCUGAUGUGUUCUUUAAGCUGCCGGGGCUGGGGUUCAAACAAAGGCCAGCCAUAUGGGGUAUGGCAUCCAAUGCACUGUACUUAGCUACUGCACUACACGGCCAUCCCUGCUCUGCUUUUCUUGAAUCACUUGUGCCUCCACUUACAGAUGGAUAUUUUCUCUGAGUGCAAGGGUGUGCACUGCUUCCUUUUAGGGAGAAUUCCAUCAGGCUGUGCUGGUCGAACAAGGAGAGGCAGGAGGCCAGGUGAGGGAGCACUGAGCCAGUCUAUGUCUAAGCCGGGCUGAGGAUGAGGAGGGCACUUUACAGGACUUCAGCAGCACAGCUUCGUGUCUGCUCCCAUGACCGGUGCCUGGGCAGCUUAGCAGGCCAGCCUUAGGCAUAUCAACCAAUGUUAUUGUGUUAUAUUCUUAUCUAUCUGCCUACCUCUAUCUAUCUAUCUAUGCAGAAAUAAGAUUUGUGUCUUCUACUUAUU